CGGAGCUAAUACCGGAUAAUCCUUUCCCUCACAUGAGGGAAAGCUGAAAGACGGUUUCGGCUGUCACUUACAGAUGGGCCCGCGGCGCAUUAGCUAGUUGGUGAGGUAACGGCUCACCAAGGCAACGAUGCGUAGCCGACCUGAGAGGGUGAUCGGCCACACUGGGACUGAGACACGGCCCAGACUCCUACGGGAGGCAGCAGUAGGGAAUCUUCCGCAAUGGACGAAAGUCUGACGGAGCAACGCCGCGUGAGCGAUGAAGGCCUUCGGGUCGUAAAGCUCUGUUGUCAGGGAAGAACAAGUACCGGAGUAACUGCCGGUACCUUGACGGUACCUGACCAGAAAGCCACGGCUAACUACGUGCCAGCAGCCGCGGUAAUACGUAGGUGGCAAGCGUUGUCCGGAAUUAUUGGGCGUAAAGCGCGCGCAGGCGGUUCCUUAAGUCUGAUGUGAAAGCCCCCGGCUCAACCGGGGAGGGUCAUUGGAAACUGGGGAACUUGAGUGCAGAAGAGGAGAGCGGAAUUCCACGUGUAGCGGUGAAAUGCGUAGAGAUGUGGAGGAACACCAGUGGCGAAGGCGGCUCUCUGGUCUGUAACUGACGCUGAGGCGCGAAAGCGUGGGGAGCGAACAGGAUUAGAUACCCUGGUAGUCCACGCCGUAAACGAUGAGUGCUAAGUGUUAGAGGGUUUCCGCCCUUUAGUGCUGCAGCAAACGCAUUAAGCACUCCGCCUGGGGAGUACGGCCGCAAGGCUGAAACUCAAAGGAAUUGACGGGGGCCCGCACAAGCGGUGGAGCAUGUGGUUUAAUUCGAAGCAACGCGAAGAACCUUACCAGGUCUUGACAUCCUCUGACAACCCUAGAGAUAGGGCGUUCCCCUUCGGGGGACAGAGUGACAGGUGGUGCAUGGUUGUCGUCAGCUCGUGUCGUGAGAUGUUGGGUUAAGUCCCGCAACGAGCGCAACCCUUGAUCUUAGUUGCCAGCAUUCAGUUGGGCACUCUAAGGUGACUGCCGGUGACAAACCGGAGGAAGGUGGGGAUGACGUCAAAUCAUCAUGCCCCUUAUGACCUGGGCUACACACGUGCUACAAUGGAUGGAACAAAGGGCUGCAAAACCGCGAGGUCGAGCCAAUCCCAUAAAUCCAUUCUCAGUUCGGAUUGCAGGCUGCCACUCG
This 1171-nucleotide ribosomal RNA is filed under the name Bacillus sp. SP15.0O3. Its description in RNAcentral is "bacterial SSU rRNA". It matches the Rfam family "Bacterial small subunit ribosomal RNA", at positions 158 to 1314 of the family's 1533-position model. The record is from RNAcentral. Lineage: Bacteria; Bacillati; Bacillota; Bacilli; Caryophanales; Bacillaceae.